UCCCUGAUGGCUUAAGGUGGUAAAGAAUCUGCCUGCAAUACAGGAGACCCAGGUUCAAUCCCUGGGUCGGGAA
RNAcentral lists this transfer RNA (73 nucleotides) under Bos taurus (domestic cattle). It matches the Rfam family "tRNA". From Rfam's summary of the family: Transfer RNA (tRNA) molecules are approximately 80 nucleotides in length. Their secondary structure includes four short double-helical elements and three loops (D, anti-codon, and T loops). RNAcentral also lists the same sequence under 5 other names. Lineage: Eukaryota; Metazoa; Chordata; Mammalia; Artiodactyla; Bovidae. The record is from Rfam by way of RNAcentral.